This 433-nucleotide ribosomal RNA is filed under the name uncultured bacterium. RNAcentral describes it as "partial 16S ribosomal RNA". It matches the Rfam family "Bacterial small subunit ribosomal RNA", at positions 29 to 507 of the family's 1533-position model. The record is from RNAcentral.
AACGAACGCUGGCGGCAUGCCUAACACAUGCAAGUCGAACGAGAACUCCCGGUCCUUUGUCGUACGGGUGCGUAAGGGGUGGGAACCUGCCCUUAGGGUUGGAAUAACUCCCCGAAAGGGGUGCUAACAGCGGAUAAGGGCUUCGAACCAAAGAUAUAUUGCCUCUGGAUGGUCCCGCGUUGGAUAAGAUUGUUGUUAGGGUAAAAGCCUACCACGCGGCCGAUCCCUUGCUGGUUUGAGAGGAGGCUCAGCCACACUGGGACUGGGACGCGGCCGAGACUCCUACGGGAGGCGGGAGUGGGGAAUGUUGGACAGUCGGCGAAAGGCUGAUCGAGCAAUGCCGGGUGAGUGAUGAUGGCGUUAGGGAAGUAAAGCUCUUUUACCUGGGCUGGUAUUGACGGUACCGGAAGAAUAAGCUCCGGCUAACUACGUG